UGGGCAGACACAGAUGAUGACGGCCUCCUCGGUGGAGAGGUGGUUCCGAGAAGGACGAAUUGCCUGUGAGGAAAACAUAACCCUCUAGACAUACUCCGAGUCUUCUUCACUCAGCAGAGUUGCACAGGACAGACUCAUUUUGGUGGUCGCACUUAACGUUUCCACAUCAUGAGUAGCAAGGAAUGGAACAUGCUGGGACGAAGACAGAAGCCCAUCUGUUUUGAACAACUGACUUGAUCAGAUUACAAUCUCACUCUUUCUCCAAAGCCAUUUUAAGACCCAGCAAAAUGCUAGUUUCUGGAACGACUGAAAUGAUACUUUCUGACUUCAACCCAACCUCCGCUGUAGGAAGUUUGAAACCUUGAAGGUUGCUGUUCAAGUUUGCCAAUGACUUAAAUGGAUUUUAUUUUCCACCCACAGAACUGAGGUUAGAGAGUUUGUUCUGUACAAGAUUCAGCAGGAGGGACAGACUGUCCUUGAUCAUGCCGAGGCUCUGUCUACGCAGGCAGAUCUUCCUCUCUGGGGCUGAAGAAUCGAGUUCCCUGUCCAUCAAUGUGCAUAUGAUAAAAUUCACGGAGUCAGAGCUAGACUUCUGCCCCGGAGGCCACAGGCAUCUCCCAUUGUAAAUAAAGGGCCACCUGGCGGAUAAUGCACGCCUCGGUGAAUUUCCCGUCCAACCUCACUUUGGGCUACUUUUUUGAACAUUAUCUUAUCAGAGCAACUAAUGUCUACUUCUCUGUACUUUUUUUUUCAUAAGCAUCUCCUACUCACAUUUUUCUUGUAACAGCUUUAGUUAAAAUGACCAGUUGCCUUGAGGCUUGCUA
Long non-coding RNA from Myotis lucifugus (little brown bat), 824 nucleotides. RefSeq lists it as uncharacterized. NCBI's taxonomy places the organism in Eukaryota, Metazoa, Chordata, Mammalia, Chiroptera, Vespertilionidae. The record is from RefSeq and is a predicted model, not a curated record. The transcript is spliced from 3 exons.